Molecule: non-coding RNA, 73 nt
Organism: Gymnothorax javanicus (giant moray)
Lineage: Eukaryota; Metazoa; Chordata; Actinopteri; Anguilliformes; Muraenidae
Source: the annotation of a GenBank genome assembly
GGCACAGUGGUGCAGUGGUUAGCACUGCUGCUUUGUAGCAAGGAGGUUUUGGGUUUGAAUCCAGCCUGGGGCC